AUACGGGAGGCUCCAGUGGGGAAUAUUGGACAAUGGGGGAAACCCUGAUCCAGCAAUGCCGCGUGUGUGAAGAAGGCCUGCGGGUUGUAAAGCACUUUCGGUUGGGAGGACUGCUUCUAGCACUAAUAUUGUUGGAAGUUGACGUUACCUUCAGAAGAAGCACCGGCUAACUCCGUGCCAGCAGCCGCGGUAAUACGGGGGGUGCAAGCGUUAAUCGGAAUUACUGGGCGUAAAGCGCGCGUAGGCGGCUAGAUCAGUCGGGUGUGAAAGCCCCGGGCUUAACCUGGGAACUGCAUCCGAUACUGGCUAGCUUGAGUACAGGAGAGGAGAGUGGAAUUCCACAUGUAGCGGUGAAAUGCGUAGAUAUGUGGAGGAACACCAAUGGCGAAGGCAGCUCUCUGGCCUGAUACUGACGCUGAGGUGCGAAAGCGUGGGGAGCAAACAGGAUUAGAUACCCCAGUAGUC
Molecule: ribosomal RNA, 465 nt
Filed under: uncultured bacterium
Lineage: Bacteria
Description: partial 16S ribosomal RNA
Rfam family: Bacterial small subunit ribosomal RNA
Source: RNAcentral